This 345-nucleotide long non-coding RNA is filed under the name Mytilus galloprovincialis (Mediterranean mussel). The record is from RNAcentral. Lineage: Eukaryota; Metazoa; Mollusca; Bivalvia; Mytilida; Mytilidae.
AUAACAUUAGCCCUACAAACCUACAUACAAGACAUAACAAUACAAUAACUAAUAUGCAAUAAGUUACAUGACACAAAAUGGAGCAUGGUGAUACGCAAAAUGGAGCAAGGUGAUAAUAUGCAGAUUAAGAGCAUGAUAAUGAAAGUUAUAAAAAUUAAAAGGCAUAGAUUAAUAUAAACUAAGCAUGAUUAGGGAGAUGAUAAAAUGUAUAACAUAAAAUAUUAUAAUUAUAGAAGAGGGGCGAAAGAUACCAAAUGGACAGUCAAACUCGUAUAUUAAAAAUAAACGGACACCACAAUGGCUAAAAAAGAAAAAGACGAACAGAAAAAUAAUAGUACACAAAAC